RNAcentral lists this ribosomal RNA (446 nucleotides) under uncultured bacterium. Its description in RNAcentral is "partial 16S ribosomal RNA". It matches the Rfam family "Bacterial small subunit ribosomal RNA", at positions 338 to 795 of the family's 1533-position model. The record is from RNAcentral.
CCUACGGGUGACUGCAGUCGAGAAUCAUUCACAAUGGGGGAAACCCUGAUGGUGCGACGCCGCGUGGGGGAAUGAAGGUCUUCGGAUUGUAAACCCCUGUCAUGUGGGAGCAAAUUAAAAAGAUAGUACCACAAGAGGAAGAGACGGCUAACUCUGUGCCAGCAGCCGCGGUAAUACAGAGGUCUCAAGCGUUGUUCGGAAUCACUGGGCGUAAAGUGUGCGUAGGCUGUUUCGUAAGUCGUGUGUGAAAGGCGCGGGCUCAACCCGCGGUCGGCACAUGAUACUGCGAGACUAGAGUAAUGGAGGGGGAACCGGAAUUCUCGGUGUAGCAGUGAAAUGCGUAGAUAUCGAGAGGAACACUCGUGGCGAAGGCGGGUUCCUGGACAUUAACUGACGCUGAGGCACGAAGGCCAGGGGAGCGAAAGGGAUUAGAUACCCCGGUAGUC